GAGGCUCUGAUGCUGAUCAGUAAUGUCAUUGAUUUCUAGGUGUUACCUAUGUCAUUUUAAAAACAUAAAUUUUUUCAGAACGUAGUUGACUUAGAAAGUUGUGUUGGUUUCAGGUGUACAGCCAGGUAAAUCUGUAACACAUACAUAUGUCUGUUCCUUUUCAGAUUCUUUUUCCGCAUAGGUCAUUACACUGUAUUGAGUAGAUUACUCUGCAAGUACAGUAGGUCCUUGUUACCUAUUUUAUAUAUAGCAGUAUGUGUAUGUCAGUCCCAACCCCCUCACUCAUCCUCCUGCCCCACAUUUCCCCUUUGGUAACCAUAAAAUUGGUUUCAAAAUCUUGGAGUCUGUUUCUGUUUUGUAAGUUCUCUUGCAUCAUUUUUUUUUGUUGUUGUUAGAUUUCACAUAUUAGUGAUCUAUAUUUGUCUUUUUCUGUCAUUUUAAUUUCUUCCUGUUACCAGGUGCCUUUGUACCUAAGAGACAGUCAUGAACAGAAUUUGCAAUGGAAAUACACUGGAGGAAACACACUGGAGGAAAAUACACAUUCUCUGAAAUUUGAAGCCAAAGAAAAGCUUCCAGAGAAAGAAAAUGAGAAAGUCUCAAGAAUUAAAUGGAGUUGUCAUAAAAAAAGAGAGAAGGGCAGAAAGAGAGACAUUCUGCAAGUACAAGAAACUAAACCCUGGUAGGAAAAGGUUAAGAUCUCAAGGAAGACAAGACUUGGGCCAAGGCAGAUUGAGGGGAGAUGUCAAUACUCAGAGAAACCACAGCCACAGAAUUAUAAGGACUUGAAGGACCAUUUACAACUCUGGUGGCUUUUCUGAGCUUUGUUGAGUAAAAGGCAAGGAAACAUGACAUCGCAGAGGUCCUUACGGUACAGAGAAAAAGGAUUCUCAUACAAGCUGCUUAGAAGAACAAAUUACUGCUAAUUACCAGGAUGUUUAAUGGAGAUCAAUCUGAUAGUU
Molecule: long non-coding RNA, 959 nt
Filed under: Sus scrofa (pig)
Lineage: Eukaryota; Metazoa; Chordata; Mammalia; Artiodactyla; Suidae
Description: lncRNA (ENSSSCG00070007201.1)
Source: RNAcentral